GUACACUCCUGCGGGAGGCAUCAGUGGGGAAUAUUGAACAAUGGGCGCAAGCCUGAUCCAGCCAUGCCGCGUGAGUGAUGAAGGCCCUAGGGUUGUAAAGCUCUUUCACCGAUGAAGAUAAUGACGGUAACCGGAGAAGAAGCCCCGGCUAACUUCGUGCCAGCAGCCGCGGUAAUACGAAGGGGGCUAGCGUUGUUCGGAUUUACUGGGCGUAAGCGCACGUAGGCGGACUAUUAAGUCAGGGGUGAAAUCCCGGGGCUCAACCCCGGAACUGCCUUUGAUACUGGUAGUCUUGAGUUCGAGAGAGGUGAGUGGAAUUCCGAGUGUAGAGGUGAAAUUCGUAGAUAUUCGGAGGAACACCAGUGGCGAAGGCGGCUCACUGGCUCGAUACUGACGCUGAGGUGCGAAAGCGUGGGGAGCAAACAGGAUUAGAAACCCUAGUAGUCCCAUGAU
This 453-nucleotide ribosomal RNA is filed under the name uncultured organism. RNAcentral's name for it is "partial 16S ribosomal RNA". It matches the Rfam family "Bacterial small subunit ribosomal RNA", at positions 331 to 801 of the family's 1533-position model. The record is from RNAcentral.